AAAGCAGGGGAUCUUCGGACCUUGCGCUAAUAGAUGAGCCUAAGUCGGAUUAGCUAGUUGGUGGGGUAAAGGCCUACCAAGGCGACGAUCUGUAGCGGGUCUGAGAGGAUGAUCCGCCACACUGGGACUGAGACACGGCCCAGACUCCUACGGGAGGCAGCAGUGGGGAAUAUUGGACAAUGGGCGCAAGCCUGAUCCAGCCAUGCCGCGUGUGUGAAGAAGGCCUUUUGGUUGUAAAGCACUUUAAGCGAGGAGGAGGCUCCUUUAGUUAAUACCUAAAGUGAGUGGACGUUACUCGCAGAAUAAGCACCGGCUAACUCUGUGCCAGCAGCCGCGGUAAUACAGAGGGUGCGAGCGUUAAUCGGAUUUACUGGGCGUAAAGCGUGCGUAGGCGGCUUUUUAAGUCGGAUGUGAAAUCCCUGAGCUUAACUUAGGAAUUGCAUUCGAUACUGGAGAGCUAGAGUAUGGGAGAGGAUGGUAGAAUUCCAGGUGUAGCGGUGAAAUGCGUAGAGAUCUGGNAGGAAUACCGAUGGCGAAGGCAGCCAUCUGGCCUAAUACUGACGCUGAGGUACGAAAGCAUGGGGAGCAAACAGGAUUAGAUACCCUGGUAGUCCAUGCCGUAAACGACNUUUUCUACCCGUUGGGGCCUUUGAGGCUUUAGUGGCGCAGCUAACGCGAUAAGUAGACCGCCUGGGGAGUACGGUCGCAAGACUAAAACUCAAAUGAAUUGACGGGGGCCCGCACAAGCGGUGGAGCAUGUGGUUUAAUUCGAUGCAACGCGAAGAACCUUACCUGGCCUUGACAUACUAAGAACUUUCCAGAGAUGGAUUGGUGCCUUCGGGAACUUAGAUACAGGUGCUGCAUGGCUGUCGUCAGCUCGUGUCGUGAGAUGUUGGGUUAAGUCCCGCAACGAGCGCAACCCUUUUCCUUAUUUGCCAUCGGGUAAUGCCGGGAACUUUAAGGAUACUGCCAGUGACAAACUGGAGGAAGGCGGGGACGACGUCAAGUCAUCAUGGCCCUUACGGCCAGGGCUACACACGUGCUACAAUGGUCGGUACAAAGGGUUGCUACCUCGCGAGAGGAUGCUAAUCUCAAAAAGCCGAUCGUAGUCCGGAUCGCAGUCUGCAACUCGACUGCGUGAAGUCGGAAUCGCUAGUAAUCGCGGAUCAGAAUGCCGCGGUGAAUACGUUCCCGGGCCUUGUACACACCGCCCGUCACACCAUGGGA
This 1227-nucleotide ribosomal RNA is filed under the name uncultured Acinetobacter sp. RNAcentral's name for it is "bacterial SSU rRNA". It matches the Rfam family "Bacterial small subunit ribosomal RNA", at positions 202 to 1409 of the family's 1533-position model. Lineage: Bacteria; Pseudomonadati; Pseudomonadota; Gammaproteobacteria; Moraxellales; Moraxellaceae. The record is from RNAcentral.